RNAcentral lists this long non-coding RNA (370 nucleotides) under Manihot esculenta (cassava). Its description in RNAcentral is "long non-coding RNA (MESC_LNC010413)". Lineage: Eukaryota; Viridiplantae; Streptophyta; Magnoliopsida; Malpighiales; Euphorbiaceae. The record is from RNAcentral.
UAAUGUUCCCAUUUCAAAAUGAAUACGAACGUCAAGCGUCAACAAACUUAUGGUAAUCUCGUAAUUUCGCGCUCAAUUUGAUGUCAAAACCAAGUCAACUCCAUAAACUUUCUUCUCCAGGCUCAUAUGCUCUUUCCAUCCUUCCAUCUCUGUCUCUCCCUGUGCACCUGUCAUCGAAAGAGAGUAAAAGAGAGGGAAAUUUUUUUUUUUAAUUCCAAAAUAAGAACAAAAAUGGAGUCGUUUGAAUCCAACUUGAUCAAAGAUGCUCACCAAAUCGACAAUCCUCACAUCACCAAUAACGCAGAUCACGGCUGGCAAAAGGUCACCUACGCCAAGCGCCAGAGGAAGCAGAAGCAGGUGGACUCUGCUU